GAUGAACGCUGGCGGCGUGCCUAAUACAUGCAAGUCGAGCGGAAAGGCCCUUCGGGGUACUCGAGCGGCGGACGGCUGAGUAACGUGUAGGAACGUACCCCAAAGUGAGGGAUAACUGCUCGAAAGAGUAGCUAAUACCGCAUGUGCUCUUCGGAGUAAAGCUUCGGCGCUUUGGGAACGGCCUGCGUCCUAUUAGCUAGUUGGUGAGGUAAUUGCUCACCAAGGCGACGAUAGGUAGCUGGUCUGAGAGGAUGAUCAGCCAGACUGGGACUGAGACACGGCCCAGACUCCUACGGGAGGCAGCAGUAGGGAAUGUUCCACAAUGGGCGAAAGCCUGAUGGAGCAGCGCCGCGUGCAGGAUGAAUGCCUUCGGGUUGUAAACUGCUUUUAUAGGUGAAGAAUAUGACGGCAACCUAUGAAUAAGGAUCGGCUAACUCCGUGCCAGCAGCCGCCGUAA
This 457-nucleotide ribosomal RNA is filed under the name uncultured bacterium. RNAcentral's name for it is "partial 16S ribosomal RNA". It matches the Rfam family "Bacterial small subunit ribosomal RNA", at positions 28 to 523 of the family's 1533-position model. The record is from RNAcentral.